Molecule: long non-coding RNA, 1838 nt
Organism: Stegodyphus dumicola
Lineage: Eukaryota; Metazoa; Arthropoda; Arachnida; Araneae; Eresidae
Source: RefSeq, a predicted model, not a curated record
AGAUAGUGAAGCUCUUACAAAAAAUUUUAUCUGAUUAAUAUAAUUUAUGCCUUUUUUAUAAUGAAAUGGCUGUUGUAUAUAAUGAUUGUAGUUGUUUAAGAGGAUGAAAUAAUUCUUUGGCAUAAUGUAAUUCAUAUCAUCUAUGUUGCUACAAUUCUGUUUCAAUACAAGACCAUCAUAUCAGUGUAAGAUUUCCUAUGUGGAGACUUGGUUUCUAAUCUUUGUGUAAUAUAAUACGGAGAAGCUCGUACUGUGAAUUUUGAUAAGUAUAAUUUAUUCUUCUAUUAGAUUGGAAUGGACUCGGUGUUUUCAUAUAGAAUGUUUCAUAUUCAAAGUGUUAGUUCGGUGUUUCAUAUUCAAAGAUGUUGAAGUUCAUACAAUGUAAUUAAUUAAUAGACUUAUCACACAGACUUUUUUAAUAGACUUAUUCUUGAAUUUUUGGCUCAGAUAUAAAGUUAUUAAUUAAAAACAGCAUUAGAAAAGCAAAACUGAUUAAAAGAACACUUCCUUUAUUUUUAAAAUUGAUAUAUUUAAAUGCUUUUGUUCAUAUAAAAACAACAAUAAACACAUUUCUAAAUAAUAAGAUUAUUAAGAAAAUUUGGAACAUUUAUAAAGGUUUGCAAGGACAACAUGAUCGAUUUUGUUAUAAAUCACAUGGUUUUGACAUGUUUUGAGUAUGCUCCUGCCAGAUUGGUAGAAGCCUGGUGAUCCUGUUAUGAACAAAUCUUAACAGAUAAAGAUAUAACAUGUGAAUAUAGAAUCUAAAGAAAAGGUAAGGUUAGAUUAGGCUAUUUGAAUAUGGCUAAGCACAUUGGUUAUCAGCCUGAAGAACUUUAUAGGGAAAACUGGUUCGUAUUCACAAAACACAUGCAAAAAAAUAAAAACUGCACAGCCAGCUUGUUCACCAGGAUUUGAGCUGAGAUUAAACUACCAGUAUUGAGUUGUUUAAACCACUUGUAGGACAAAACUAAAGAAAAUGCUUGUAAUAUCAUGUAAUCAAAAGUUAACUGCAUGUUAUAUGCCACAAUUGCUUUCUCAAGUACUGAGGUAGGUUAUACUUAAUCUGCUUUUUUUUUUUUCUUUUGAAAUGUUUGGUCAUGGUAUUAUUCAUUGCAUGUAUUUUCUAUAAUACAUACAGAAUAUUAAUAGUUCUAUAACAAGUGUCUUUUUUUCAUUUUUAAGUGCUUUGCUUGUUGAUAUUCUCAAAAUUGCAUUUGAUGAUUAGUGCUAUCAUGUGUAUAAUAAAUACAAUAGAUGCAUAUAAUAGAUCAAUAUAUUUUUAGUAUACAUAUAAUGAUUCAAUAUCAUUUUUAUGGGGAAAAAAAAGACACUUUUGACUGCACAGAUUUUCUAGAAAUCCCAAGUAAAACACAUAUGAAAUCAUUUGUUUACAAUCAGUGAACGUUAAAAUCAGCUACCUGUCACAAUACAAUAAAACAGCGACACAAUUUCCUACAACAGCCAGCAGUUCCUCCUUUACAUGAACAAGAAUUUUUUUUUUUUAAAAUUUUUAUUUGUCCUUUUUGAACAAUGAAAUGUCCUUCGAUUUCAUGCGAUCAGGACGCUAUAGAACUUAUCCUUAAAUAGAAAGCCAAAACUUGUACAUUGGAUUUCAAGUAAAAUUCCGUGCAUUACCAAAUGAUCAGCUUUUUAAAAUGCUCUCUGCUUCAGUAAUACAGCGAGAAUUUACGCCUCCUUGAACAAAAUCAAACAUUUCGGAAGAGCUAAGUAACUCCAUUUUUGAAUGUACGAAGUCAGAUCACAAAUCAAAAUACCGAGUUUUAUCCGCCAUACUAAUGUGUGAAAGCGCCAUCUAUAGGUGAAUUGAAUCGCGGAUA